UGCAGCAUGUUUGAGAAACAAACAUUUCACAAGAGAAUGUGCUAGGCUUUCCUUGUAAGUUCCAACGUGUGCAACACAUACAUUUUCUAAAGGUUGCUAUGUUGUUUUCCUUAUGGUGUUAGCGCCAGCAAACACAUAUAUAUGCAUAUACACGAUCUGCCAUGGAUAAAUAAAAUUCAUAUGCGGAAGCAAAUUACAGGGGAGAACGUCAUAUAAGUCAUAAACACGCCAGUUUCCUCCGGAUAAUAGCAAAUUAGAGAUUUCUUCAAAGUGAAGUAAGGUGGAAAAGGAUUAUUUCUUGGCAUAUAAGGCUAAAAGAGCGACGAGACGAACGAGUUACGAAUAGCCGCUAACAGGUAUGUAGAGCUUCCCUUCCCUUCUUUUGGCAUGACCUUUAUGGAAUGAACAAAUAAUGUAUACGUAUGCUUCUAAAGAAAAUUCUAUUCUUAGCGCCACUAGGAUGGCCGAUGUCUUUGAUUUCCGUAAAUAUUCCAUGCGGUUUGAUAUGUAUAUAUGAUGUUCGAAAGUCCUCGUUGGUAUAUUUCCGAAUGUGUUCGAAAGAAAAUGGAUAUGACUUAAGUCUUUGAUAAAUAUUUUGGUACGUAUAUAUGGUUCCAAAGUCUCCAUUUGGUUUGAUCCAUAAUGAUAUUUGAAAACUACCUAAUAUGUUUGUUACUUGAAUUUCUAAAUAUGGCUUGUGGAAUAAUUUUUAGAAGGUUCCGAACUUCAAAAGCUCGUAAUUUUUGUAUCCUAAUUCUGAUUGACCCGAUACUUGUUUCUGAGCUUCCUGAUAUCGGUAUAGACAUAUUUAUUUAUCGAUUCUCGGAAUUUAUUUACUUAUAUGCAUAUGAUUUCUGCACUACUCCGCUCGUGCAUACUACUAUUACAUCGUUCGCCGGAUCCCGGGCCGGUUAUGGUUCGUGCGCACUAUGAUAAAUUCGGCCGUAUGCUGUGUUACGGUUCCCGAGACCUCGCCAUAGGGCCGGGUUCCGUUUGGAGUUAUGCUGUGAUAUGGCUGGUGAUAUGUUAUGAUGAUAUGUGUGUAUUCGGGGAUGUACGGAGAUUUGAACCUUCUGGUGUUAUGCUGUGUGUGGCACCAGCGUCGGAGUGGUGACCACGUUCCUGAGCUUUGCAUGAUUUUAUCUGCAUUACGUAUAUAUGUUUUUGGCACAGAUUUUGAUAUACUGGUCAGUAUUCCCCUUUCGUGUCCUGUUUGUUUUCAGUUGUGGUUUACAUUUCUGUACUCUAUGCUUUACAUACUCAGUACAUCUUUCGUACUGACCCCCUUUCUUCGGGGGGCUGCGUUUUCAUGCCCGCAGGUACAGAGAUUCGUGAUCUGCCAGCGUAGGCCACACGUUCUGCUAUUACCGAGUGCUCCUUUUGAUCCGGAGCCCAUUUGUCGGUAUAUGUCUUUUGUGAUGUAUAUGCAUCUGUAUAUUUGACUAUUUGGGGUACGGCGGGGCCUUGUCCCGUCAUAUGUUUUCGUUCUGUAUGUGUAGAGGCUUGUAGUCAUAUAUGUGGGUCGAGGGUCCUAUAUGUGUCUGCUUUGUUUACGAUCUGUGUCUUAAUGCGGUCCGUCUGUUAUGGUGGCCAAAAUGGCCCAUAUGUUUGUAUCUGUACAUAUGAUCGGCGACGUGCAUUCCGCCGCUCCUUCUGUUUUAAUAUGAUAUUUUGGUAUGCGCGACCGCUUAAGACAA
Lycium barbarum (goji berry) is the source of this 1697-nucleotide long non-coding RNA. RefSeq lists it as uncharacterized. The transcript is spliced from 2 exons. Lineage: Eukaryota; Viridiplantae; Streptophyta; Magnoliopsida; Solanales; Solanaceae. The record is from RefSeq and is a predicted model, not a curated record.